RNAcentral lists this ribosomal RNA (433 nucleotides) under uncultured bacterium. RNAcentral's name for it is "partial 16S ribosomal RNA". It matches the Rfam family "Bacterial small subunit ribosomal RNA", at positions 29 to 507 of the family's 1533-position model. The record is from RNAcentral.
AACGAACGCUGGCGGCAUGCCUAACACAUGCAAGUCGAACGAGACCUUCGGGUCUAGUGGCGCACGGGUGCGUAACGCGUGGGAACCUGCCCUUAGGUUCGGAAUAACUCCCCGAAAGGGGUGCUAAUACCGGAUAAUGUCUUCGGACCAAAGAUUUAUCGCCUUUGGAUGGGCCCGCGUUGGAUUAGCUAGUUGGUAGGGUAAAAGCCUACCAAGGCGACGAUCCAUAGCUGGUCUGAGAGGAUGAUCAGCCACACUGGGACUGAGACACGGCCCAGACUCCUACGGGAGGCAGCAGUGGUGAAUAUUGGACUAUGGGCGAGAGCCUGAUCCAGCAAUGCCGCGUGAGUGAUGAAGGCCUUAGGGUUGUAAAGCUCUUUUACCCGGGAUGAUAAUGACAGUACCGGGAGAAUAAGCUCCGGCUAACUCCGUG